This 253-nucleotide ribosomal RNA is filed under the name uncultured bacterium. RNAcentral describes it as "partial 16S ribosomal RNA". It matches the Rfam family "Bacterial small subunit ribosomal RNA", at positions 524 to 776 of the family's 1533-position model. The record is from RNAcentral.
UACGGAGGGGGUUAGCGUUGUUCGGAAUUACUGGGCGUAAAGCGCGCGUAGGCGGAUUAGAAAGUUGGGGGUGAAAUCCCGGGGCUCAACCUCGGAACUGCCUCCAAAACUGCUAGUCUAGAGUUCGAGAGAGGUGNGUGGAAUUCCGAGUGUAGAGGUGAAAUUCGUAGAUAUUCGGAGGAACACCAGUGGCGAAGGCGGCUCACUGGCUCGAUACUGACGCUGAGGUGCGAAAGUGUGGGGAGCAAACAGG